RNAcentral lists this ribosomal RNA (229 nucleotides) under uncultured bacterium. RNAcentral describes it as "partial 16S ribosomal RNA". It matches the Rfam family "Bacterial small subunit ribosomal RNA", at positions 111 to 334 of the family's 1533-position model. The record is from RNAcentral.
UAACACGUGGGCAACCUGCCCCGAAGACCGGGACAACCCGAGGAAACUCGGGCUAAUACCGGAUGUGUCCAAUGAGCACGAGCUCGCUGGGCAAAGGAAGCUUCGGCCUCCGCUUCGGGAGGGGCCCGCGGCCCAUUAGCUAGUCGGUGAGGUAACGGCUCACCGAGGCAACGAUGGGUAGCUGGUCUGAGAGGACGAUCAGCCACACUGGGACUGAGACACGGCCCAG